RNAcentral lists this ribosomal RNA (427 nucleotides) under uncultured bacterium. Its description in RNAcentral is "bacterial SSU rRNA". It matches the Rfam family "Bacterial small subunit ribosomal RNA", at positions 355 to 774 of the family's 1533-position model. The record is from RNAcentral.
UGGGGAAUAUUGGACAAUGGGCGAAAGCCUGAUCCAGCCAUGCCGCGUGUGUGAAGAAGGUCUUCGGAUUGUAAAGCACUUUACGUUGGGAGGAAGGGCAUUAACCUAAUACGUUGGUGUCUUGACGUUACCGACAGAAUAAGCACCGUCUAACUCUGUGCCAGCAGCCGCGGUAAUACAGAGGGUGCAAGCGUUAAUCGGAAUUACUGGGCGUAAAGCGCGCGUAGGUGGUUCGUUAAGUUGGAUGUGAAAUCCCCGGGCUCAACCUGGGAACUGCAUUCAAAACUGACGAGAUAGAGGAUGGUAGAGGGUGGUGGAAUCUCCUGUAUAGCGGUGAAAUGCGUAGAUAUAGGAAGGAACACCAGUGGCGAAGGCGACCACCUGGACUGAUACUGACACUGAGGUGCGAAAGCGUGGGGAGCAAACA